This 45-nucleotide transfer RNA is filed under the name Crotalus scutulatus (Mojave rattlesnake). RNAcentral's name for it is "partial tRNA-His". Lineage: Eukaryota; Metazoa; Chordata; Lepidosauria; Squamata; Viperidae. The record is from RNAcentral.
GUGUGCGUAAUUUAAAGAAAAUAUCAAGCUGUGACCUUGAAAAUA